RNAcentral lists this ribosomal RNA (459 nucleotides) under uncultured bacterium. Its description in RNAcentral is "partial 16S ribosomal RNA". It matches the Rfam family "Bacterial small subunit ribosomal RNA", at positions 338 to 794 of the family's 1533-position model. The record is from RNAcentral.
CCUACGGGAGGCUGCAGUGAGGAAUAUUGGUCAAUGGGCGCUAGCCUGAACCAGCUAAUUAGCGUGAAGGAUGACUGCCCUAUGGGUUGUAAACUUCUUUUAUAUGGGAAUAAAGUGCAGUAUGUAUACUGCUUUGCAUGUACCUUAUGCAUAAGGAUCGGUUAACUCCGUGCCAGCAGCCGCGGUAAUACGGAGGAUCCGAUCGUUAUCCGGAUUUAUUGGGUUUAAAGGGAGCGUAGGCGGGUUGUAAAGUCAGUUGUGAAAGUUUGCGGCUCAACCGUAAAAUUGCAGUUGAUACUGGCAGCCGUGAGGAGAGUAGAGGGAGGCGGAAUUCGUGGUGUAGCGGUGAAAUGCUUAGAUAGCACGAAGAACUCCGAUUGCGAAGGCAGCCUGCUGGACGGUAACUGACGCUGAUGCUCGAAAGUGUGGGUAUCAAACAGGAUUAGAUACCCCAGUAGU